This 30-nucleotide non-coding RNA is filed under the name Rattus norvegicus (Norway rat). Lineage: Eukaryota; Metazoa; Chordata; Mammalia; Rodentia; Muridae. The record is from RNAcentral.
UAGUCAAACUUCUUUUAAAGAGGCAAGAUA